This 194-nucleotide small RNA is filed under the name Pseudomonas cannabina. Its description in RNAcentral is "Pseudomonas sRNA P16". It matches the Rfam family "RgsA sRNA". Rfam says of the family: P16 sRNA appears to be conserved across several Pseudomonas species and Azotobacter vinelandii. The record is from RNAcentral. Lineage: Bacteria; Pseudomonadati; Pseudomonadota; Gammaproteobacteria; Pseudomonadales; Pseudomonadaceae.
CAAGAAGCGUUUUAGUAUUCCAAAACUGUUUAAAAAACGAACAUAAGACACUGGACGAGACGCCAUCCUGGGCAAUACUUAAGGCGCUGGUGCCUCAUUCCCCCAAAUGAUGCGCCCGUAAGGGUACCAACGGAUGGAGUGCCUUUGUUUUACUCCUAAUGGUCUUAACCCGGCUUCACCCCCCCAGAAUCCGG